GGCCCAUGUCACGGCGGACGUUGGGCGGUCUGCAAAACCGCCGAUGCCGGGUUCGACUCCCGGAUGGGUCU
Molecule: transfer RNA, 71 nt
Filed under: Kutzneria buriramensis
Lineage: Bacteria; Bacillati; Actinomycetota; Actinomycetes; Pseudonocardiales; Pseudonocardiaceae
Description: tRNA-Cys
Source: RNAcentral